This is a non-coding RNA of Apaloderma vittatum (bar-tailed trogon), 82 nucleotides long. The record is from Rfam. NCBI's taxonomy places the organism in Eukaryota, Metazoa, Chordata, Aves, Trogoniformes, Trogonidae.
GGCCGGUUAGCUCAGUGGUUUGAGUGCGGUGCUGACAACAAUGACAACACCAAGGUCGCGGGUUCGAUUCCUGCUCCGUCCC